AUGUAAUGUUUGUGUGUAUUAGAUACUGUUUGUGCAGUUAAAGCAGAGUAUAUGUUUAUGUUGCAGAUACAGUGUGUAUAGUGAAUGCAGAGUGUGUUUGAGUAGUGGAUGUAGUGUGUGUACAGUGAUGUAGUGUGUGUUUGUGUAGUGGAUGUAGUGUUUGUGUGUACUAGAUGGAAUGUGUUUAGUGUAUGCAGUGUCUGUAGUGGAUGUAGU
Pelobates cultripes (western spadefoot toad) is the source of this 216-nucleotide non-coding RNA. Lineage: Eukaryota; Metazoa; Chordata; Amphibia; Anura; Pelobatidae. The record is from the annotation of a GenBank genome assembly.